Molecule: ribosomal RNA, 253 nt
Filed under: uncultured bacterium
Lineage: Bacteria
Description: partial 16S ribosomal RNA
Rfam family: Bacterial small subunit ribosomal RNA
Source: RNAcentral
UACAGAGGGUGCAAACGUUGCUCGGAGUUACUGGGCGUAAAGCGCGUGUAGGCGGUGCCGCACGUCCGGUGUGAAAGCCCAGGGCUCAACCCUGGAAGUGCACUGGAUACGACGGCGCUGGAGUCCUGAAGAGGAGGGCGGAAUUCCCGGUGUAGAGGUGAAAUUCGUAGAUAUCUGGAGGAACACCGGUGGCGAAGGCGGCAUCCUGGACCGACACUGACACUGAGGAGCGAAAGCCAGGGGAGCAAACGGG